GAUCGGGGAUAACGAACCUGGGAAACAGAUAGCUAAUACCGGAUAACAACAGAUGAUGCCUAUCAACUGUUUAAAGAUGUUCUGCUAUCACUCUUGGAUGGACCUGCGGUGCAUUAGCUAGUUGGUAGGGGUAACGGGCCUACCAAGGCGAUGAUACAUAGCCCGAGUUGAGAGACUGAUCGGCCACAUUGGGGACUGAGACACGGGCCCAAACUCCUACGGGAGGCAGCAGUAGGGAAUCUUCCACAAUGGACGCAAGUCUGAUGGAGCAAACGCCGCGUGAGUGAAGAAGGGUUUCGGCUCGUAAAAAGCUCUGUUGUUGGUGAAGAAGGACAGGGGUAGUAACUGACCCUUUGUUUGACGGUAAUCAAUUAGAAAGUCACGGGCUAACUACGUGCCAGCAGCCGCGGUAAAU
Molecule: ribosomal RNA, 415 nt
Filed under: uncultured Lactobacillus sp.
Lineage: Bacteria; Bacillati; Bacillota; Bacilli; Lactobacillales; Lactobacillaceae
Description: bacterial SSU rRNA
Rfam family: Bacterial small subunit ribosomal RNA
Source: RNAcentral